RNAcentral lists this ribosomal RNA (1035 nucleotides) under Styela plicata. Its description in RNAcentral is "SSU rRNA". It matches the Rfam family "Eukaryotic small subunit ribosomal RNA", at positions 423 to 1482 of the family's 1831-position model. Lineage: Eukaryota; Metazoa; Chordata; Ascidiacea; Stolidobranchia; Styelidae. The record is from RNAcentral.
AGGCAGCAGGCGCGCAAAUUACCCAUUCCCGACACGGGGAGGUAGUGACGAAAAAUAACAAUACAGGACUCUAACGAGGCCCUGUAAUUGGAAUGAGUACAUCCUAAAACUCUUAACGAGUAUCCAUUGGAGGGCAAGUCUGGUGCCAGCAGCCGCGGUAAUUCCAGCUCCAACAGUGUAUGCUAAAGUUGUUGCGGUUGAAAAGCUCGUAGUUGGAUUUUGGGCGAGCGCAGCCGGUCCGUCGCAGGGCGUGUUACUGGUUGCGUUCGCCUCACCUUCGGUUCUCCGUCGGUGCUCUUGACUGAGUGUCGGCGGUGGCCGAUAAGUUUACUUUGAAAAAAUUAGAGUGUUCAAAGCAGGCUGCUCGCCUGCAUAGUGUUGCAUGGAAUAAUGGAAUAGGACCUCGGUUCUAUUUUGUUGGUUUUCGGAGCACGAGGUAAUGAUUAAGAGGGACAGACGGGGGCGUCCGUACUCUGCCGUUAGAGGUGAAAUUCUUGGAUCGGCGGAAGACGAACUACUGCGAAAGCAUUCGCCAAGAAUGUUUUCUUUAAUCAAGAGCGAAAGUCAGAGGUUCGAAGACGAUCAGAUACCGUCCUAGUUCUGACUAUAAACGAUGCCAACUAGCGAUCGGGAGGCGUUACCAUGACGACCUUUCCGGCAGCUUCCGGGAAACCAAAGUCUUUGGGUUCCGGGGGAAGUAUGGUUGCAAAGCUGAAACUUAAAGGAAUUGACGGAAGGGCACCACCAGGAGUGGAGCCUGCGGCUUAAUUUGACUCAACACGGGGAAACUCACCCGGCCCGGACACAGGUAGGAUUGACAGAUUGAGAGCUCUUUCUUGAUUCUGUGGGUGGUGGUGCAUGGCCGUUCUUAGUUGGUGGAGCGAUUUGUCUGGUUAAUUCCGAUAACGAACGAGACUCUGGCAUGCUAAAUAGUUACGCGACCUUCUCGGUCGGCGUCUAACUUCUUAGAGGGACUAGCGGCGUUUAGCCACACGAGAUUGAGCAAUAACAGGUCUGUGAUGCCCUUAGAUGUCC